AAACUUAAUAGUUACAACUUUCAACAACGGAUCUCUUGGUUCUGGCAUCGAUGAAGAACGCAGCGAAAUGCGAUAAGUAGUGUGAAUUGCAGAAUUCAGUGAAUCAUCGAAUCUUUGAACGCACAUUGCGCCCCUUGGUAUUCCAUGGGGCAUGCCUGUUCGAGCGUCAUUU
RNAcentral lists this ribosomal RNA (172 nucleotides) under Phoma sp. NRRL 54532. RNAcentral's name for it is "5.8S ribosomal RNA". The stretch from base 16 to 169 matches the Rfam family "5.8S ribosomal RNA". From Rfam's summary of the family: 5.8S ribosomal RNA (5.8S rRNA) is a component of the large subunit of the eukaryotic ribosome. It is transcribed by RNA polymerase I as part of the 45S precursor that also contains 18S and 28S rRNA. The record is from RNAcentral. Lineage: Eukaryota; Fungi; Ascomycota; Dothideomycetes; Pleosporales; Didymellaceae.